CUUUCCCUCUUUCUUCCUGCUUUACACAUGCAAGUCGAACGGCAGCGCGGGCUUCGGCCUGGCGGCGAGUGGCGAACGGGUGUGUAAUACAUCGGAACGUGCCCAGUAGUGGGGGAUAGCUCGGCGAAAGCCGGAUUAAUACCGCAUACGACCUGAGGGUGAAAGCGGGGGAUCUUCGGACCUCGCGCUAUUGGAGCGGCCGAUGGCAGAUUAGCUAGUUGGUGGGGUAAAGGCCUACCAAGGCGACGAUCUGUAGCUGGUCUGAGAGGACGACCAGCCACACUGGGACUGAGACACGGCCCAGACUCCUACGGGAGGCAGCAGUGGGGAAUUUUGGACAAUGGGCGAAAGCCUGAUCCAGCAAUGCCGCGUGUGUGAUGAAGGCCUUCGGGUUGUAAAGCACUUUUGGCGGGAACGAAAAGGACUGUGCCAAUACCACGGUUCAAUGACGGUACCCGCAGAAUAAGCACCGGCUAACUACGUG
This 484-nucleotide ribosomal RNA is filed under the name uncultured bacterium. RNAcentral describes it as "partial 16S ribosomal RNA". It matches the Rfam family "Bacterial small subunit ribosomal RNA", at positions 36 to 507 of the family's 1533-position model. The record is from RNAcentral.